UCUGUGACACACAAUAAUUUAACAUAACAAUUAUAAUUAUUACUGAUAACAUAUACUGAGGCAUAUCAAAAUUAUAGGACUCUUAUAAUCUUAUACAAUUUUGUAAUACAUACUAAUAACACAUUUAUAUAAAUGUAACCCAAAGAAAAUUAAACACUAUAUUUGACAAUGUUUACCGCAUGAUUUUAGUACUUUAAAUAAGCUGAAUAUGUCUUUUUGGACUUUAGGCAACUUAAUUUUUUUUUUAACUUAGAAUUUGAUCUUGAGAGGUCUGUCAAAUAUCAAAGGUUUAAAAACACUGGAUAUCAGAAAAUAGAGUCCCAGGUCACUAUAAGUUAUUCAAUAGCCAAAAUGAUAACUCUAAAAUUUUAAAGAAAAACCGUUACUCUGAUAAGAGACUUAACUUUCCAAACAACCAGACCCAAUGAAGAUAGCAUGAGUCCCACUGAAGGAAGACUUUAUUAAAGACUGUUGAGAUAGGGAAGAGAGAUUGGGCUCAACUCUGAAUUCAGCAAAGACAACUGGGGAUUUCUGGCCAUUGAACAGAGUGAGAGGUCAUUGGAUGGAAAAUUACAAAAAAGAGACAGCAAGGGUAGGCAGAUUCUUACUAGACCAACUGCUGUAGUCUGCAUGUUGGUGUCCCCCACAAAUUCAGAUGUUGAAACCUAACCACCAGUGCAAUAGUAUUAAGAGGUAGGGUCUCAGUAGUAGUAAGAGGUGGGAAGUGAUUAAGUAAUGAGGGCUCUGUCCUAAUGAAUGUGAUUUUUGCCCUUAACAAGAAGUUGAGAGAAGUAGUCCUUGUCCCUUCUGCCAUGUGAGGACACAGACUUGACCCUUUUCCCUUAUAAGGUCACAUAGAAGGCACCAUCUGUGAAGAACAGGCCUUCACCAGACACUGAAUCUGCUGGUGCUUUGCUGUUGGACUUCCUAGCCUCUACAGUUGUGAGAAAUAAUGUCUGUUGUUUAUAAAUUUCUCAAACUAACAUGUUUUGUUUUAGCAGCUUGUAUGGACUUAGAUGGAAAUUGAUAGCAAGAAGUGGGGUGCUGCUGUAAAACAAUACCUAAAAAUGUAGAAGUGGCUUUGGAAUUGUAUAAUUAGCAGAAGCAGGAAGAACACUGAGGUGCACAUUAGAAAAAGCUUGUAUUGCUAUUGUUGGGUCAUAGAAGGCGAUUCUCAUAAGGGCUCAGAAGAAGAGAACUGUAGAAAAAGCCUCAAUCUUCUAAGACAUUACUUAAGUGGUUAUACUCAGAAUGUUGGUAGAAAUAUGGUCAAUAAAGGCAAUUCUGAUGAGGUAUCAGAAAUGAGGGGCAUGUUAUUAGAAACAGGAGGAAAGGCCAUCCUUGUUAUAAAGUGGCAAAGACCUCAGCUGAAUUGUGUUGGGUCCUAAUGUUUUGUGAAAGGAGGAACUUAACAAGUAAUGAAAGAGGGUAUUUGACAGAAGAAAUCUUUAAGCAAAGUGCAGCAUGGCUUCUCCUGAUUGCCUAUAGUAAACUGCCAGGAGGGAAACAGAUUAAAGACAGAAUGUAUAAUCAAUUAUUUAUAUCAAUUAUGAAGAAAAGCCUCAGUCACUUCACAAUGGGGAAACAUAGCAGACAGCACCUUUCAAAGGAACCAAACAUCACCAGUAAAGGGACAAAGAGUCACCAGCUGCCUCAUGAUAUGAAGCACUGAGAAGCACACAUCACUUCUACUUCCAGGGGGUUCCUGCCAAGAAUGCAGAACCCAAAUGGAAUUCCGAGAAAUCAUCACACAAAUCCAAACAGAAGGGCUUUCUACAAAAUAACUGGCCUGUAUCCUUCAAAAACGUCAAGGUCAUGAAAGACAAAGAAAUAUGAGAAACUGUGGCAGCUUAAGGGAAACUAAAGAGACGUAGCAACUAAGUGCAAUGUGUGAUUCUGGACUCAAUCAUGAAACAGAACAAAAAAUUAAAAGUAUUUUCUUUUUGUUUUUAAAUGGAGUCUUGCUCUAUCGACGGGCUGGAGUGCAGUGGUGUGAUCUCGGCUCACUGCAAGCUCUGUCUCCUGGGUUCACGCCAUUCUCCUGCCUCAGCCUCCCGAGUAGCUGGGACUACAGGCGCCUGCCACCACGCCCAGCUAAUUUUUUUGUAUUUUUUAGUAGAGAUGGGGUUUCACCCUGUUAGCCGGGAUGGUCUCAAUCUCCUGACCUCGUGAUCCACCCGCCUCGGCCUCCCAAGUGCUGGGAUUACAGGCAUGAGCCACUGCGCCCGGCCAAAAGUAUUUUCUAGGAGGAAUAGUAAUGAGACAAUUAGCAAAAUGUGGAAAAUGUCUGUAUGUUCAAUAGUAGUGUUUUAUAAACGUCAGUUCUCUGAUUUUGAUCAUUAUAGUGUGGUUACUUACCAGAAUGCCUCAUUUUAGGAUAAUACACACUGAGGUAUUUAGGGGUAGGUGACAUCAUGCUUAUAACUUCCUCCCAAAUAUUUUAAGGAAAAAUAUAUGCACACGGACAUACAUUCAUAUAUGCAAUAUGAUAAUGAAGAAGCAAUGGUGACAUUUGGAUCUGGGUGAAUGGCUUAUGGGAAUUCAUUUUUGUACUGUUUUGUACAUUUUGUACUAUUCUUGUGCUUUUGCUAUAAGUCUGAAAUUCUUUUAAAAUAAGAAGGAAAUACAAUUAUGGCAGGAAAAUAGCUGACUGGGCCACAUUAUUAGCCCUAAUGGUCCUCACCUCUCAGAGUGGAAGGCAAAUACUGGUGACUGUUGAGUCACAGCCUCACGUGUCCAGCACCGUUGUAACCAACUAGACUAUGUUUGCUUAUGCACAUGGCAACAGAAAAUAAGGAGUCCAAGAAUAUGCAACCCAGAAAUCAAACUUAACCAUUGAAUAUAGCUGGCUUAGUCGGAUCAGGGCUACUAUAACAAAAUCUAAAAUGGGUGGCUUGGCCAGGCAUGGUGGCUCAUACUUGUAAUCCCAGCACUUUGGGAGACCAAGGCAGGCAGAUCACCAGGUCAAGACAUUGAGACCAUUCUGGCCAAAAUGGUGAAACCCCAUCUCUACUAAAAAUAGAAAAAUGAGCUGGGCGUGGUGGCGCAUGCCUGUAGUCCCGGCUACUUGGGAGUCUGAAGCAGAAGAAUCGCCU
Molecule: long non-coding RNA, 3095 nt
Filed under: Homo sapiens (human)
Lineage: Eukaryota; Metazoa; Chordata; Mammalia; Primates; Hominidae
Description: HSALNT0132401
Source: RNAcentral